UUCCAAAACGGAAGGCAAGGGCUUAAAAAAAAAGGAAUAGUGAGCAGACAAGGAUAGAAUUCAGCUGAGAGUCAAAAUAUGCCCUGUAAUCCUGUAGGAUUUCAAAUGAGAGCCAGAGGUCAAUGAAGGCUGGAAUGUUUAGGGAAGACUUCUGAGAGGAAGGGAGAUUUUAAUUGGGUCUUGCAGGAUUAAGUAGAAUUGGGAUAGGUGGGAGAGCUAGAUGGGCAGCAAGAAGAGAUAAAGAGAGGCAGAGGUAGGGAUGAACAUUAGACUAUUUUUGUUGUUUGUAAAGAGUUUGCGGCAAAAAAUUGGGAGCAAGAUAGAAAACUGACAUGGAGGAAACCAAGGACUCUAAGGUUUCCAGCAGGGAUUAUUUCCCUUGUUUUUCACCCAACCCUCUUUCCUAAGGACAGUUCAAAGUGGCCUCUACCUGGAGGAUGCCUUACUAUUGGGGAGGAGGAAGAAAUCUCUUCAUUAGGAGUGAGACACAUCAAAAAGAAAAGAUAGGAGGAACAAGUCUUCAGGAGAUUUCUCAACCAUAGGAGGAAACUGAGGCUUCAACCCAUGGAACAGUGGUCCAGAUGAUAGGAAGCUGGAGUUUAUUAAGUAGAGGACAACAUGAUUAGACCUGAGCUUCAAGAAAAUCACUUUUCUGGCUGAAUGAAGGAUGGGCUCCAGAGAAUUCAAGAUGAACAAAGACACUACUUACCUCUUGACAAAGAGGUUAUUUAAAAUGCAGCACAAGAUAUACAUUUUUGGACAUGGAAAAUGUGAAAAUUUGUUGUUUUGCCCAUGCAUAUUUGUUAUAAGAGUUUUCUUACUCUUUUUAAAAUAGGGAUGAGCAGUGGCAAGACACGGGGAGAAAACAAAUGCUCGUUAACUGAAAAUAAAAGAAUUACUAAUUCCUAGGGGACUUGGGGGGGGGGUUGUUUUUUGUUUGUAUUUUUCUCAUUUUUCAGGUAUUUCUUGAUCAUUGAACUCUGAUAAUAUAUCUACUUCAUGUGUAUGCCUGUGUAUUUAUCCAUGAAUUAUUUGAUAUUAAAAAGGGGUCUUGUAUCAGGGGAAAAACCCCUCAAACUAAACUUUCUCACUAUUCACAAUAUUUUUUCUUGACUCUUGAAAAGAAAGGAAUUUUACUGUCUGUUUUUAAUCCGCCUAAUAUUAAAUACAACCUGACACUAUCAAAU
Monodelphis domestica (gray short-tailed opossum) is the source of this 1187-nucleotide long non-coding RNA. RefSeq lists it as uncharacterized. NCBI's taxonomy places the organism in Eukaryota, Metazoa, Chordata, Mammalia, Didelphimorphia, Didelphidae. The record is from RefSeq and is a predicted model, not a curated record.